RNAcentral lists this ribosomal RNA (497 nucleotides) under uncultured bacterium. RNAcentral's name for it is "partial 16S ribosomal RNA". It matches the Rfam family "Bacterial small subunit ribosomal RNA", at positions 28 to 507 of the family's 1533-position model. The record is from RNAcentral.
GACGAACGCUGGCGGCGUGCCUAAUACAUGCAAGUUGAGCGCUGAAGGUUGGUACUUGUACCAACUGGAUGAGCAGCGAACGGGUGAGUAACGCGUGGGGAAUCUGCCUUUGAGCGGGGGACAACAUUUGGAAACGAAUGCUAAUACCGCAUAAAAACUUUAAACACAAGUUUUAAGUUUGAAAGAUGCAAUUGCAUCACUCAAAGAUGAUCCCGCGUUGUAUUAGCUAGUUGGUGAGGUAAAGGCUCACCAAGACGAUGAUACAUAGCCGACCUGAGAGGGUGAUCGGCCACAGUGGGACUGAGACACGGCCCAAACUCCUACGGGAGGCAGCAGUAGGGAAUCUUCGGCAAUGGACGAAAGUCUGACCGAGCAACGCCGCGUGAGUGAAGAAGGGUUUCGGAUCGUAAAACUCUGUUGGUAGAGAAGAACGUUGGUGAGAGUGGAAAGCUCAUCAAGUGACGGUAACUACCCAGAAAGGGACGGCUAACUACGUG